Long non-coding RNA from Notothenia coriiceps (black rockcod), 309 nucleotides. RefSeq lists it as uncharacterized. Lineage: Eukaryota; Metazoa; Chordata; Actinopteri; Perciformes; Nototheniidae. The transcript is spliced from 3 exons. The record is from RefSeq and is a predicted model, not a curated record.
AACCCAUCCCCGAGUGAACUGGUGGAUACGAAGGACCCUGUACCAGAUCUCUGACUCUGAUGCUUUCGCUGAUGGACUCGCAGGCCGUCGAAGAAAGGUUGGACGAAAUCAAUCAAGCUGAAGGUGAAAAGGGCUGGUUCUUGGCCUCCUUCACACCAUCCAGCAGCGCGACAUGCCAGCCACCCCGCCCUGAAUCUUAAAGAGGAUCGACCCCACCAAGGGAAUAUGAGCCGCUUCCCGCUCGCGUGCUGGAAAAGGCUGCAAAGAAGGGUAUUUCUGUGGUUGCUUGACCGCUGACCGCCAACUACC